GACGAACGCUGGCGGCGUGCCUAAUACAUGCAAGUCGAACGCUUCUUUCCUCCCGAGUGCUUGCACUCAAUUGGAAAGCGGAGUGGCGGACGGGUGAGUAACACGUGGGUAACCUACCCAUCAGAGGGGGAUAACACUUGGAAACAGGUGCUAAUACCGCAUAACAGUUUAUGCCGCAUGGCAUCAGAGUGAAAGGCGCUUUCGGGUGUCGCUGAUGGAUGGACCCGCGGUGCAUUAGCUAGUUGGUGAGGUAACGGCUCACCAAGGCCACGAUGCAUAGCCGACCUGAGAGGGUGAUCGGCCACACUGGGACUGAGACACGGCCCAGACUCCUACGGGAGGCAGCAGUAGGGAAUCUUCGGCAAUGGACGAAAGUCUGACCGAGCAACGCCGCGUGAGUGAAGAAGGUUUUCGGAUCGUAAAACUCUGUUGUUAGAGAAGAACAAGGACGUUAGUAACUGAACGUCCCCUGACGGUAUCUAACCAGAAAGACACGGCUAACUACGUG
Molecule: ribosomal RNA, 508 nt
Filed under: uncultured bacterium
Lineage: Bacteria
Description: partial 16S ribosomal RNA
Rfam family: Bacterial small subunit ribosomal RNA
Source: RNAcentral